AGAGGUUGAUUCUGGCUCAGGAUGAACGCUGGCGGCGUGCCUAACACAUGCAAGUCGAGCGAAGCACUUUGCUUAGAUUCUUCGGAUGAAGAGGAUUGUGACUGAGCGGCGGACGGGUGAGUAACGCGUGGGUAACCUGCCUCAUACAGGGGGAUAACAGUUAGAAAUGACUGCUAAUACCGCAUAAGACCACAGCACCGCAUGGUGCAGGGGUAAAAACUCCGGUGGUAUGAGAUGGACCCGCGUCUGAUUAGCUAGUUGGUAAGGUAACGGCUUACCAAGGCGACGAUCAGUAGCCGACCUGAGAGGGUGACCGGCCACAUUGGGACUGAGACACGGCCCAAACUCCUACGGGAGGCAGCAGUGGGGAAUAUUGCACAAUGGGGGAAACCCUGAUGCAGCGACGCCGCGUGAGCGAAGAAGUAUUUCGGUAUGUAAAGCUCUAUCAGCAGGGAAGAAUUAGGACGGUACCUGACUAAGAAGCACCGGCUAAAUACGUGCCAGCAGCCGCGGUAAUACGUAUGGUGCAAGCGUUAUCCGGAUUUACUGGGUGUAAAGGGAGCGUAGACGGAUGGGCAAGUCUGAUGUGAAAACCCGGGGCUCAACCCCGGGACUGCAUUGGAAACUGUUCAUCUAGAGUGCUGGAGAGGUAAGUGGAAUUCCUAGUGUAGCGGUGAAAUGCGUAGAUAUUAGGAGGAACACCAGUGGCGAAGGCGGCUUACUGGACAGUAACUGACGUUGAGGCUCGAAAGCGUGGGGAGCAAACAGGAUUAGAUACCCUGGUAGUCCACGCCGUAAACG
Molecule: ribosomal RNA, 801 nt
Filed under: uncultured bacterium
Lineage: Bacteria
Description: bacterial SSU rRNA
Rfam family: Bacterial small subunit ribosomal RNA
Source: RNAcentral